This 397-nucleotide ribosomal RNA is filed under the name uncultured Chrysophyceae. RNAcentral's name for it is "partial small subunit ribosomal RNA". It matches the Rfam family "Eukaryotic small subunit ribosomal RNA", at positions 30 to 432 of the family's 1831-position model. The record is from RNAcentral. Lineage: Eukaryota; Chrysophyceae.
GCUUGUCUCAAAGAUUAAGCCAUGCAUGUCUAAGUAUAAACAAAUCUAUACUGUGAAACUGCGAAUGGCUCAUUAUAUCAGUUAUAGUUUAUUUGAUGGUUCUUGCUACUUGGAUAACCGUAGUAAUUCUAGAGCUAAUACAUGCAUCAAACCCCGACUUCUGGAAGGGGUGUAUUUAUUAGAUGGAAACCAAUGCGGGGCAACCCGGAUUCUGGUGAUUCAUAAUAACCAAGCGAAUCGUCGGUUUACCGACGAUAGAUCGUUCAAGUUUCUGACCUAUCAGCUUUGGUCGGUAGGGUAUUGGCCUACCGAGGCAAUGACGGGUAACGGAGAAUUAGGGUUCGAUUCCGGAGAGGGAGCCUGAGAAACGGCUACCACAUCUAAGGAAGGCAGCAGG